AACGAACGCUGGCGGCAUGCCUAACACAUGCAAGUCGAACGAGACCUUCGGGUCUAGUGGCGCACGGGUGCGUAACGCGUGGGAACCUGCCCUUAGGUUCGGAAUAACUCCCCGAAAGGGGUGCUAAUACCGGAUAAUAUCUUCGGACCAAAGAUUUAUCGCCUUUGGAUGGUCCCGCGUUGGAUUAGCUAGUUGGUAGGGUAAACGCCUACCAAGGCGACGAUCCAUAGAUGGUCUGAGAGGAUGAUCAGACACACUGGGACUGGGACACGGCCCAGACUCCUACGGGAGGGAGAAGUGGGGAAUAUUGGAAAAUGGGCGAAAGCCUGAUGCACCAAUGCCGGGAGAGUGAUGAAGGCCUUAGGGUUGUAAAGCUCUUUUACCCGGGAUGAUCAUGACAGUACCGGGAGAAUAAGCUCCGGCUAACUCCGUG
This 433-nucleotide ribosomal RNA is filed under the name uncultured bacterium. RNAcentral describes it as "partial 16S ribosomal RNA". It matches the Rfam family "Bacterial small subunit ribosomal RNA", at positions 29 to 507 of the family's 1533-position model. The record is from RNAcentral.